This 1500-nucleotide long non-coding RNA is filed under the name Homo sapiens (human). Its description in RNAcentral is "non-protein coding lnc-NECTIN3-1:1". The record is from RNAcentral. Lineage: Eukaryota; Metazoa; Chordata; Mammalia; Primates; Hominidae.
GGAGGAGCCAAGAUGGCCGAAUAGGAACAGCUCCCGUCUGCAGCUCCCAGCGUGAGCGACGCAGAAGACGGUGAUUUCUGCAUUUCCAUCUGAGGUUGUACAAGAAUAAUCUGGAAACAUCACACUAAAGAAGAGGAAAGCAGUAUAAUCUGGAGGACUCAAAUUUAGAGUCACACCAAAGGGAUCCAAAUCCCUGAUUCAGCAAUUAUUUUCUGUGUGAACUCAGUAAGUCAUUUGGAUCCUCACAUACUCCAGCCAGUAAUUGAAGACAUAAGAAUCUCCACAGCUUUACUGCAAGAAGGGGAGUCUUUGAACACAUGUUAUACGCAUGUCAGCAAAUUGAAGAUUAUUGAAACACCUUUAGCUGACUGAGGAUGAUAUGGCUGAGGUUAGCUGGAAGUUUAGAAUCCCCUGAAAAACUUACCACAAAGAAUAGAUUCUGGACUACAGAGUCAGGCUGCAGAUUACGCCUGGGUUUUCUUAGGCAUGGUUUUCUUCCAUGGAAAACUUUCCUGAACCAACCACCUUGACACAGUGGGUUUGCCACAAAAAGAAAAUAAAUAAGUAAGCUGUGUGAGCACAUAUGUGUUGAGAGUGUGUGUAUGUAUGUGGCUGCAUGAUAUUGGGUCCACUGUCUGCUGGCAAGGGGUAACCAUGGCUGAGGUGACCACUGCUCAGAAGGCUUCGUCUCCCUACUCAGACCUACACCUUUGGAAUCUCAGCAGGGCACAGUGAGAAAGCAGCACCAUUUUCAACAGCCAACACCUACCCAGUGAAGCCAGAGACUGCAGACAACCAAUCAACUGAUUUCCUCUUGAUGGAAUUUGGUUAUAAUCUCAAUUACCCACGGAAUCUGAGAUAGCCUCUGGAUUAUUGAGCUCUGCUAGAACAGUGGUAUCCUUAUAAUGCUAAGAUGGCUGCUCCAGGUCAAGCUGAAUUGAAUAUUUAAAGAGAUAUGUCCCCAUUUGGUUCUGAGGUUCAUAAAUGCUAGUGAAUCUAUGCAAAAAUACAUCAUUUAACAUUUAUUCCAAGCUUACUGUAUGCCAGACACAGCAGCAAGCACUUCACACAUAUUAACCUUCAUCAUGUCUUAUUCUUAUCUUCACCAUGUCAUGCUUUGACAAAAGAUCACACAAUCAUUAAGUGAAAGGCAAGCAUUCAAACUCAGUCCCAUCUGAUUCAAGAUCAGUUUGGCAAUAUAGAAGAAAUCAGCUAGUAUUAUCAAUCUCAAAUUUCAAAUGCUAUUAUGAAAAUCUCUUAGUAAAGAAAAUAAUAAAUAGCUGCAGCCCUGUUCAUUUAAGGCGUUAGCUACUUAAUCUCUUAAAAUCAAUCCCCUAGGGAGAGUACUGAUUUAUUAGAGAAAAAUGAAUGCAGUACAAUAUAAACAUUACAUUUUCAGAGAAUAAUUUCUAAGAAAUUCUAAGUGAAGAUCAGUCAAUGAUGUUGUUAGUACACUUAAUACUUUAUCUUUCUAUAUAUUUUACAUUGUAUAACCCACCC